Molecule: non-coding RNA, 372 nt
Organism: Phascolarctos cinereus (koala)
Lineage: Eukaryota; Metazoa; Chordata; Mammalia; Diprotodontia; Phascolarctidae
Source: RefSeq, a predicted model, not a curated record
AGAGAAAACUUAGACCUACCAAAUCCCUUGGUAUGAAAUCAAAUGAACUAUUCAGGCUCAAAUGUCUGCCUCCCAAAACUUCUUAAGCCAACUUUCUUUUCAGUUUUGGGAAUCAUCUAGAUUUUCACCGAACUUUUACAAGUCUGAUAUCCUGAAACCUAAGAUGACCAACAUGGUGGUGCAGCCUGUAUUACUGUAUUAGCCUGUGUUACUGGGGAGGAUGAGGAAGUUCAUCAUGAUCAUAUCCCUCCAAUAGCAAAUGUGUGCUGACCUUGAGUACUACUUAUUGUCUGCUGCCGGAACAAAGACCACCUGCCUACUGUGACACUCACCAUUUUCUCACUGCUCAUCCUCCCUGAUGCUGGCAUCUUA